UACCUUCUUUAUUCGAGAUGAGAUUUCGUCACUGAUCAACCCGCUGGCACUAGCUGAUGCAACUUCUCAAAUAAGUGAAGUG
This 82-nucleotide microRNA precursor is filed under the name Trichobilharzia regenti. RNAcentral describes it as "mir-3492 microRNA precursor family". It matches the Rfam family "mir-3492 microRNA precursor family". Lineage: Eukaryota; Metazoa; Platyhelminthes; Trematoda; Strigeidida; Schistosomatidae. The record is from Rfam by way of RNAcentral.